UACGAAGGGUGCAAGCGUUACUCGGAAUUACUGGGCGUAAAGCGUGCGUAGGUGGUGAGUUAAGUCUGUCGUGAAAGCCCCGGGCUCAACCUGGGAAUGGCAUUGGAAACUGGCUAGCUGGAGUGUGGCAGAGGGGGGUGGAAUUCCGCGUGUAGCAGUGAAAUGCGUAGAUAUUCGCAAGAACACCAGUGGCGAAGGCGGCUCACUGGCCCGAUACUGACGCUGAGGCACGAAAGCGUGGGGAGCAAACAGG
Molecule: ribosomal RNA, 253 nt
Filed under: uncultured bacterium
Lineage: Bacteria
Description: partial 16S ribosomal RNA
Rfam family: Bacterial small subunit ribosomal RNA
Source: RNAcentral